AAGAGUAAAAUCAAAAUAUUUAUUAGAAGAUUAAUAUUUUAAUUGAUACUAAAAUAAUUUAGAUUUAAACUAGGAUUAGAUACCCUAUUAUACUAAAAUUUAAUAAAAACUAAAAUAUUAUAAGAUACAACCUUUAAAUUUAAAGAAUUUGGCGGUAAUUUAGUCUCUUCAGAGGAACCUGUUUCUUAAUCGAUAAACCACGAAAAAUCUUACUUAAGCUUGUAUACCGUCAUUAGCAGAUAAUAUUUAGAGAUAUAUUAUUAAAUUUUAAAAAUUAAAAUAAAUUAGAUCAAGGUGCAGCCUAUGAAUAAGUUGGAAUGGGUUACAAUUAAGUUUAUAUAAAUAUGGAAUAAAAUUUAGGAAGGAGGAUUUGAUUGUAUAGGAAUUAAUAAGAUAAAAAGAUAUAAGCUCUAAAUUAUGUACAUAUCGCCCGUCGCUUUC
Molecule: ribosomal RNA, 441 nt
Filed under: Pugettia nipponensis
Lineage: Eukaryota; Metazoa; Arthropoda; Malacostraca; Decapoda; Epialtidae
Description: partial 12S small subunit ribosomal RNA
Source: RNAcentral